This 575-nucleotide unclassified non-coding RNA is filed under the name Hevea brasiliensis (rubber tree). Lineage: Eukaryota; Viridiplantae; Streptophyta; Magnoliopsida; Malpighiales; Euphorbiaceae. The record is from RNAcentral.
GUUUAAUUUGAUAAAUCGUAUACCCAUGGAACAAUUAACCUAGAGUCCAAUGUCUAUCCUACUGCUAAAAUCUUUAUGAAUCAAUGAAAUAAUGAACCCACACUCCAACGUCAGACUCUUCCACUUGCAUGCCCUCAAGUUUAUGACUUUAUAAUCUCCCAUGCUCAAGAAACAAGCAUUUUGAGUAUAUUAGUGGAUACAAUUUCUCCAAGUAAUUCACUGCAAACACCUUUGCUUGAAUUUCUUGGUCAGUAGUUUUUUUUUAUAAUAUUAAUUUCAACCUCUGUAAUAUCUCUGUCUUUCUCUAUAACUUCCUCAUUGACAUGAACUCCACUAAUUUGUAUUUUAUUAAGCUCUUUCUAAGUAGCCCCAUUAAUGUGAAUGACUUCAUCUCAACAGAUUCAUCUUGUGCCUUCCCCCUCAGUAUUUUGCUUAAAACCAAAGGCCACUGGUUAAUCUAUAUUUCAUUGUUUCCUUUAUCAAAUUGUUGCAUGUAUCCUAACUAAGUCAUUAAUUAUUUGACACAACGAGUUCUCUUGGGCUUGAGUAAUAAAAUUUUCACCCACAGAUUUUGA